Zea mays is the source of this 470-nucleotide long non-coding RNA. RefSeq lists it as uncharacterized. The transcript is spliced from 3 exons. NCBI's taxonomy places the organism in Eukaryota, Viridiplantae, Streptophyta, Magnoliopsida, Poales, Poaceae. The record is from RefSeq and is a predicted model, not a curated record.
CUCUCUAGCCUUUGUGCAGCCGCCCCCCUCUCUCAUCUCCUCCUCCCUCAAACUCUUGCAGCCACCAUCCCACAAACCCUAGCCGCCCCCAUCUCCUCUUCUCCUAGGUGCAGCCCUCCCGCUUGAUCUACGUCGCGUGGGUGCAAAUCUCCAAUUGGAAUUUGGUGGAAGGAAGAAGGAGGGAGGAAAGGGGGAGAAUUCAAGUUAUGAAAUUUUCAAGCAACGCCGCUGCAGUUAGGUGGUGAUGGGGAGAGUUGUCGCUCGCGAUGGGUUGGAAUUGUGCGCAGGUGGUGGACUUCCAGAUCGUACUUAGUACCAUUCCAAAUUCCUAGUGAAGGCAAGUAAAUACAGUGGUGGUUGCUACCAUUUGGUUUGCAUCCUAUGCCUUGUCAAUGAGUAUGUAUAAGUAUUAAAUGUGUUAAUCAUUGAAUUCUAUGAUGAAGUUUAUUUGUUCGAAAGUAUUAAUUCUC